RNAcentral lists this small RNA (66 nucleotides) under Pantoea brenneri. RNAcentral's name for it is "STnc40". It matches the Rfam family "Salmonella enterica sRNA STnc40". Lineage: Bacteria; Pseudomonadati; Pseudomonadota; Gammaproteobacteria; Enterobacterales; Erwiniaceae. RNAcentral also lists the same sequence under 1 other name. The record is from RNAcentral.
GCAGUGUCACGGCCGCCUGGCCUGAGAUUAACCGCUGAUGAAAAAGGAGCCACUGGCUCCUUUUUU